RNAcentral lists this long non-coding RNA (730 nucleotides) under Homo sapiens (human). RNAcentral describes it as "HSALNT0042189". Lineage: Eukaryota; Metazoa; Chordata; Mammalia; Primates; Hominidae. The record is from RNAcentral.
GUGAUCCUCCUGCCUCAGCCACCAUGCCCGUCUAAUUUUUUGUAUUUUUAGUAGAGACGGGGUUUUACCGUGUUAGCCAGGAUGGUCUCAAUCUCCUAAUCUCAUGAUCCGCCCGCCUCGGCCUCCCAAAGUGCUGGGAUUACAGCCGUGAGCCACUGCGCCCGGGCUGAUUUCUUCUUAUGCCUAGUUGUGGAAGCUUCCAGGCUGACAAGAACGUAACGAACUGAGAAUAUGCCACCUUCAAUUCCUGCUUAAUACCUACCUUGGUCUUGGGAUGGGCAUGUUAAGAAUAGCAUAAUUGAAGAUGGCAGGAGGAUGGGAAGGGAAAAGGAGGGUGAUGCAGAAGAGGUGCUGAUAUGAUUGGCUUUGUGUCCCCAUAAUCCCCACGUGUCAAGGAAGAGACCAGAUGGAGGUAGUUGAAUCAUGGUGGGUGGGGGUUUCCCCCAUGCUGUUCUCGUGAUAGUCAGUUCUCACGAGAUCUAAUGGUUUUAUAAGGGACUCUUCCCUCUUCGCUUGGCACGCCACCUUCCUGCCCCCUGGCGAAGAAGGCGCUUUGUUUUCCCCUUCACCUUCUACCAUGACUGUACAUUUUAUGAGGCUUCCCCAACCAUACUGAACCCUCUUGGGAGAGGGAGCCAUAGAACCAAGCCCAGCGGCACUUUCUGGAGCACGUCAGAAGUAACAUCCAUCUCUCUGCAGAGGAGUUAGGCAAAUAGGUGCUGGAGCCAUA